GCCGGCGACCGGCGGACGGGUGCGUAACGCGUAUGCAACCUACCUUCAACAGGGGGAUAAUCCGAAGAAAUUUGGUCUAAUACCCCAUAAUAUUCCGACAGGCAUCUGUUGGAGUUGAAAGCUUCGGUGGUUGGAGAUGGGCAUGCGUUGUAUUAGCUAGAUGGUGAGGUAAUGGCUCACCAUGGCGAUGAUACAUAGGGGGACUGAGAGGUUUUCCCCCCACACUGGUACUGAGACACGGACCAGACUCC
Molecule: ribosomal RNA, 251 nt
Filed under: uncultured Bacteroidota bacterium
Lineage: Bacteria; Pseudomonadati; Bacteroidota
Description: uncultured Bacteroidetes bacterium partial 16S ribosomal RNA
Rfam family: Bacterial small subunit ribosomal RNA
Source: RNAcentral